This 490-nucleotide long non-coding RNA is filed under the name Androctonus crassicauda. Lineage: Eukaryota; Metazoa; Arthropoda; Arachnida; Scorpiones; Buthidae. The record is from RNAcentral.
CUGCCAUACAUUUUUUUCUGCAAUGCGAUUUCAGUUAGGGUUGAUUUUAACUUAAGUAUUUUUUUCAAUUAUUUCCCCUUUUUUAUCAGAAAUCAAAUGUUUUGAAAAUGCAUAUGUCACAGUUUAUACCACAAUAUAACUUUGAAAAAUAUUCAUUGUCUUAAAUUUACCUAAACGUAAUGAUCACAGUCCUUGCCACACAUCAAGAAAUUGAUUAUGACUAACGCUCAGCAUCGAAGACCGUAGCAAUGCAAUAGCCUAAUGCGUUUUUGUUUAAAACAUAUGAACUGCAAGACGGCAACUGACACACAACCAUUAAUAAAUGUCAGGCGUUGCUAUGCCCAGUUCCUAUGCAAGUUCGUAGGAGCUGCGACUCGUCGACAGACUUCCAAAAAUUGGAGAGUCUUAUCUCUAUUUUUUAAGCAGUUUUUUAAACAAAUCCAAGUAAUAUUUUUUCACAUCCAUAAUUCACUUUCAAGAGAUCGGAAGA